CAAGCUGGACCACUGCAGGGCCCCUGCUGUCCCCAAACGGCUUCUCCGCUUUGAUGGGCUGUGGCUGCCCUUCACUCACCAGGCUCUGGUCUCCUUUGGCUGACAGCGGGGCCUCGACGCUGCUCGUGGAUGGGCUCCUUGGGGCCAGGUGAGGGUUGAGGUCAAAGAUGAGCUGGAGAUCCACCUGCUUGCCCUUGUUGGUCCCUUUCUCGAUCCACUCAACAGUGAUGCUGGAGGUGCUUUCAUGAAGCUCUGUCACCAGCGCUGGAUGGAUGCGCCCAUCGCUGCGCUUGAUCUCCACGUAGGUGCCCAGCUGGAUGAGCCCGAACUCCCCGGCCAUGCUGUCUCUGGGCACUGGCCACAGCCGUGGAGUGGAGGAGCCCCUGGCUGGGACAGGCAGGGCUGGAGUCCCCUGGGGCUCUGUGUUCCAACGCCCAGUGUCCUGUCACAAUGGCCCUCAUGGCUACAGAACCGGCUUGAACAUAUAUGUGUUUUUAACCAGCUUCUAUGGCUAGAAGGAACAUAUAAAGCUGCCACCACCCGAAAAGGCCUAUUUGAGUAUCCAAGCUGGCACACAGCUGCUGUGACACAUCGUGUCCAAUUAGAUUUAACAUUUUAA
RNAcentral lists this long non-coding RNA (619 nucleotides) under Cairina moschata (Muscovy duck). RNAcentral's name for it is "domestica (muscovy Duck (domestic type)) lncRNA (ENSCMMG00000013232.1)". The record is from RNAcentral. Lineage: Eukaryota; Metazoa; Chordata; Aves; Anseriformes; Anatidae.